GCUGGGUGUGGUGGUGCACACCUGUAAUCCCAGCUACUCGGGAGGCUGAGGCAGGAGAAUCACUUGAACCUGGGAGGUGGAGGUUGCAGUGAGUCGAGAUCACACCACUGCACUCCACCCUGGGCAACAGAGCGAGACUUUGUCUCAA
RNAcentral lists this non-coding RNA (148 nucleotides) under Gorilla gorilla gorilla (western lowland gorilla). Lineage: Eukaryota; Metazoa; Chordata; Mammalia; Primates; Hominidae. The record is from Rfam by way of RNAcentral.